RNAcentral lists this ribosomal RNA (1502 nucleotides) under metagenome. RNAcentral's name for it is "bacterial SSU rRNA". It matches the Rfam family "Bacterial small subunit ribosomal RNA". The record is from RNAcentral.
AGAGUUUGAUCCUGGCUCAGAACGAACGCUGGCGGCGUGGAUUAGGCAUGCAAGUCGAGCGCGAAAGUUCCCUUCGGGGAGCGAGUAGAGCGGCGAACUGGUGAGUAACAGGUGGGUAACGUGCCCCAAAGUGGGGAACAACCCGAGGAAACUCGGGCUAAUACCGCAUGUGGCCGGAACGACCCUGGUCGGUCCGGUCAAAGACUUCGGUCGCUUUGGGAUCGGCCCGCCCCCGAUUAGCUUGUUGGUGAGGUAACGGCUCACCAAGGCUACGAUCGGUAGCUGGUCUGAGAGGAUGGUCAGCCACACUGGGACUGAGAUACGGCCCAGACUCCUACGGGAGACAGCAGUCUAGAGGCUUCCGCAAUGGACGAAAGUCUGACGGAGCGACGCCGCGUGUGGGAUUGAAGGCCUUCGGGUCGUAAACCACUGUCAGGAGGGAAGAAUGCCCGAGUGGUGAACUCGGGAGAGACGGUACCUUCAGAGGAAGCCCCGGCUAACUCCGUGCCAGCAGCCGCGGUAAUACGGAGGGGGCAAGCGUUGUUCGGAUUUACUGGGCGUAAAGGGUGUGUAGGCGGCUACGCAAGUCUAGUGUGAAAGCUUCAUCGCUUAACGAGAAGAGGUCACUGGAAACUGCGUGGCUUGAGUGUGGUAGAGGCGAGCAGAAUUCCUGGUGUAGCGGUGGAAUGUGUAGAUAUCAGGAAGAACACCUGUGGCGAAGGCGGCUCGCUGGGCCAUUACUGACGCUGAGACACGAAAGCGUGGGGAGCGAACGGGAUUAGAUACCCCGGUAGUCCACGCUGUAAACGGUGCACACUAGGUGUGGGAGGUAUCGACCCCUUCUGUGCCGACGCAAACGCAUUAAGUGUGCCGCCUGGGGAGUACGACCGCAAGGUUGAAACUCAAAGGAAUUGACGGGGGCCCGCACAAGCGGUGGAGGAUGUUGUUUAAUUCGACGUAACGCGAAGAACCUUACCUGGGCUUAAACUGUGGGGUAAACUCUUGGAAACAGGAGCUGGGGCAACCCGAUCCCAUAGAGGUGCUGCAUGGCUGUCGUCAGCUCGUGUCGUGAGAUGUUGGGUUAAGUCCCGCAACGAGCGCAACCCUUGUCGUUAGUUGCCAGCGCGUAAUGGCGGGGACUCUAGCGAGACUGCCGGUGAUAAACCGGAGGAAGGUGGGGAUGACGUCAAGUCAUCAUGGCCCUUACGUCCAGGGCUACAAACGUCCUACAACGGCCGGGACAGCGGGUUGCGAAACCGCGAGGUGAAGCUAAUCCCAUAAACCCGGUCUCAGUUCAGAUUGCAGUCUGCAACUCGACUGCAUGAAGGUGGAAUCGCUAGUAAUCGCAGAUCAGCAUGCUGCGGUGAAUACGUUCCCGGGCCUUGUACACACCGCCCGUCACACCACGAAAGUCGGCCGCUCCAGAAGUCGCUGUUGUAACCCGCAAGGGGACUAGGCGCCGAAGGAGCAGUUGGUAAUUGGGGUGAAGUCGUAACAAGGUA